CUCAAGUUGACAACCACCGGCGUUAAGCGUGAUUAAAGCUUACAUAAGUUAGGGUUAAAUUAAUACUUAGUAGUGAUAAGCUUGUUAUUAAAAAAACCAUAAACGAAAGUUACCCUAAUUAUAAUACUUGAAUACACGACAGCUGGGAAGACAAACUAGGAUUAGAUACCCUACUAUGCUCAGCCGUAAACAAUUAAUUUACACCAAUCAGCGCCAGGGAAUUACGAGCCAUGCUUAAAACCCAAAGGACUUGACGGUGUCCCACCCCCCUAGAGGAGCCGGUUCUAUAAUCGAUGAUCCCCGCUAUACCCUACCAUUCCUCGCCUCAGUCUGUAUACCUCCGUCGAAAGCCUACCCUGUGAACGCCCAGUAAGCCCAAUGACCCCCCUCAACACGUCAGGUCAAGGUGCAGCUCACGGAAUGGAAAGUAAUGGGCUACAAUUUCUAACAUAGAACAAACGAAAGACCAUGUGAAACCAUGUCACGAAGGUGGAUCUAGUAGUAAAAAGAAAAUAGAGUGUUCUUUUUAACCCGGCUCUGGGACGCGUACACACCGCCCGUCACCCUCUUCGAUAGCUUUACUUCACGUUUAUAACCCUUUAUCCGCACCUUAGAAGAGGCAAGUCGUAACACGGUAAGUGUACUGGAAAGUGCACUUGGAUUACAA
Molecule: ribosomal RNA, 667 nt
Filed under: Amolops loloensis (rufous-spotted torrent frog)
Lineage: Eukaryota; Metazoa; Chordata; Amphibia; Anura; Ranidae
Description: partial 12S ribosomal RNA
Rfam family: Bacterial small subunit ribosomal RNA
Source: RNAcentral